Molecule: long non-coding RNA, 303 nt
Organism: Suncus etruscus (white-toothed pygmy shrew)
Lineage: Eukaryota; Metazoa; Chordata; Mammalia; Eulipotyphla; Soricidae
Exons: 2
Source: RefSeq, a predicted model, not a curated record
GUCCUACACCUGUUUUGGUCUUGGUACCUCCCUUGUUUCCUCCUCUAAAUGGGAGGCAAUAGUUCCAGUUAUGUGGUUUUGUUUGAAGAAGAGAAAAUUGAUAAACUGGGCUAAAAAUCAAAUACGUCGAAAAUGGGCAGAGUCCUUCUAGAGGCUCUCAUCAUCGGUUUGAGAGGCAAAGGGGAAAAAGAAGGUGAAACACCUCAACAGUACAAAAAGAAGUGUCAAAUAAAAUAUCCAGUGAGCACUCCAACAAUAAAGAUAAGCACCACAUAAAAGCCAUGGUCUUGAGAUAAAAAAACA